UGAGGAAUAUUGCGCAAUGGGGGCAACCCUGACGCAGCAACGCCGCGUGGGUGAUGAAGGCCUUCGGGUCGUAAAACCCUUUUCUGGGGGACGAGCAAGGACGGUACCCCAGGAAUAAGUCCCGGCUAACUACGUGCCAGCAGCCGCGGUAAAACGUAGGGGGCGAGCGUUAUCCGGAUUUACUGGGCGUAAAGCGCGUGCAGGCGGCUUGGUAGGUUGGACGUGAAAGCUCCUGGCUCAACUGGGAGAGGCCGUUCAAUACCGCCAGGCUCGAGGACGGAAGAGGGAAGCGGAAUUCCCGGUGUAGUGGUGGAAUGCGUAGAUAUCGGGAGGAACACCUGUGGCGAAGGCGGCUUCCUGGUCCGAACCUGACGCUAAGACGCGAAAGCGUGGGGAGCGAACGGG
RNAcentral lists this ribosomal RNA (405 nucleotides) under uncultured Anaerolineae bacterium. RNAcentral describes it as "bacterial SSU rRNA". It matches the Rfam family "Bacterial small subunit ribosomal RNA", at positions 355 to 776 of the family's 1533-position model. The record is from RNAcentral. Lineage: Bacteria; Bacillati; Chloroflexota; Anaerolineae.